Vespula pensylvanica (western yellowjacket) is the source of this 652-nucleotide long non-coding RNA. RefSeq lists it as uncharacterized. The transcript has 3 exons. NCBI's taxonomy places the organism in Eukaryota, Metazoa, Arthropoda, Insecta, Hymenoptera, Vespidae. The record is from RefSeq and is a predicted model, not a curated record.
AUUACAUUAUUCAGAUGAAGUGUCUUUUAUAUCGUUUUAAAUUGGAUUGCGAACAAUCUGUCGAUAAGGACGAAUUGAAGAUUAUUGAAAAGUAUGGGAAACAAACAAAAUUUUACGCAUAUACCAUCAUUGUAUUGUUCAGCUUCUAUGUUAUUUCAAUAACAUUUUCGUGUAUUUUAAAUGUUAUUCUAUAUCUUUUUGGUAUAUUGAAGGAUGAUCAAUUAACAUUACCUCUUUUCGUUAAUAAUGUCCGAAAUGCUGGCUGGUUAUAUUAUUGUUUGCUUAUUUACCAAAUGUUAUCAUUUUAUAUUAUAUUGACAAUAGGCUGUGUGUCUUUUAUAACGUAUUUGGUAAUAAUACAACACGCAUGUUGUCAAUUUAAAAUUAUAAUAUCGAAAAUGCAGAAACUAUUUAUAAAUGAUCAAAACUAUAUACGAAAUACUAUUUCUAGAAAAAUAUCUUGGGAAGAAUUCAAUUGGAUAAUAGAUAUUAUAAUGCGUUAUAAAAAGGUCACGGAGUUAGUUCGAAAUAAACUUCUCAUCUUUCUUUAGAUUUCUAUAUUAAAAUUUAUUAUAAAUAAUUUAUUAUUUUUUUAAGGUAUGUUGAUUUGAUAAACAAUAGUCUCAACAUAAUGUAUUUAAUUGCCGUUUUC